CCUACGGGUGGCUGCAGUGGGGAAUAUUGGACAAUGGGCGCAAGCCUGAUCCAGCCAUGCCGCGUGAGUGAUGAAGGCCUUAGGGUUGUAAAGCUCUUUCAGUGGGGACGAUAAUGACGGUACCCACAGAAGAAGCCCCGGCUAACUUCGUGCCAGCAGCCGCGGUAAUACGAAGGGGGCUAGCGUUGUUCGGAUUUACUGGGCGUAAAGCGCACGUAGGCGGAUCGUUAAGUCGGGGGUGAAAUCCUGGAGCUCAACUCCAGAACUGCCUUCGAUACUGGCGAUCUAGAGUCCGGAAGAGGUGAGUGGAACUCCUAGUGUAGAGGUGGAAUUCGUAGAUAUUAGGAAGAACACCAGUGGCGAAGGCGGCUCACUGGUCCGGUACUGACGCUGAGGUGCGAAAGCGUGGGGAGCAAACAGGAUUAGAUACCCGUGUAGUC
Molecule: ribosomal RNA, 440 nt
Filed under: uncultured bacterium
Lineage: Bacteria
Description: partial 16S ribosomal RNA
Rfam family: Bacterial small subunit ribosomal RNA
Source: RNAcentral